Molecule: RNase P RNA, 382 nt
Filed under: marine eukaryotic metagenome
Description: Bacterial RNase P class A
Rfam family: Bacterial RNase P class A
About the family: Ribonuclease P (RNase P) is a ubiquitous endoribonuclease, found in archaea, bacteria and eukarya as well as chloroplasts and mitochondria. Its best characterised activity is the generation of mature 5'-ends of tRNAs by cleaving the 5'-leader elements of precursor-tRNAs.
Source: RNAcentral
GAGGGCUGGAUGGCCGCGGGCCUCAGGGUUCGAGGAAAGUCCGGACUCCACAAAGCAACAGUGCCGGGUAACGCCCGGGCAGGGAAACCUGACGGAUAGCGCCACAGAAAGUAAACCGCCCGUGCCUGCACGGGUAAGGGUGAAAGGGUAGGGUAAGAGCCUACCGGGGGGCUGGUAACAGUGUCCGCAUGGCAAGCCCCACUGGGAGCAAUGCCGAAUAGGAACCUUGCGCGGGUUUAUCGAUUUGUCGAUAUAGCCGCAGAGCCGCUUUGGUUUAAAGGUUCGGGUUGGCAGCUAGAGGCAUAGGGGCAACUCUGUGUUUAGAUGAAUGGUCAUCCAUGGGGUUUUGGCCCCAGGACAGAAUCCGGCUUACAGGCUCUCC